This 277-nucleotide ribosomal RNA is filed under the name uncultured soil bacterium. RNAcentral's name for it is "partial 16S ribosomal RNA". It matches the Rfam family "Bacterial small subunit ribosomal RNA", at positions 26 to 306 of the family's 1533-position model. The record is from RNAcentral.
AGAUUGAACGCUGGCGGCAUGCCUUACACAUGCAAGUCGAACGGCAGCACGGACUUCGGUCUGGUGGCGAGUGGCGAACGGGUGAGUAAUAUAUCGGAACGUACCCUGGAGUGGGGGAUAACGCAGCGAAAGUUGCGCUAAUACCGCAUACGAUCUACGGAUGAAAGUGGGGGCUCGCAAGACCUCAUGCUCGUGGAGCGGCCGAUAUCUGAUUAGCUAGUUGGUAGGUAAAAGCCUACCAAGGCAUCGAUCAGUAGCUGGUCUGAGAGGACGACCA